This 2054-nucleotide long non-coding RNA is filed under the name Marmota monax (woodchuck). The record is from RNAcentral. Lineage: Eukaryota; Metazoa; Chordata; Mammalia; Rodentia; Sciuridae.
GUUUGGGCUUGGGCAGCUGGACCCACAGCCUGACUCCAGCCCAGUGCCUGUCCCUUGCUUUGGUCAGGCCUUGGCCUCCAGCAGGAAUAACCUCCCCCUCAAUUCCCCAGUCCAAUGGUUUUGGGGGGCUGCCAACCAGCUCCUCCUUACCCUACUGUGCCCCCUCCUACUAUGCUGGGGCACCUCCCCUCCUACCGUGGGCAGGCCUGGGAGACUGUCCUUGAAGCAUUCCUAAUGCUGACUGGGGUGGCAGGGUCUGGCUAGGUGAUUGGCUGCCCCCUCAUUAGCGGCCUGCUGGGGUUUCCGUCACUUAGGGCUGGUUUCCAGGCAACCACGUCCAAGGAGGGCUCAGCUCUGGCUCCUGGCUGACACAGCAGCGGCUGCUGCUGCCCAGCAGGGAGGUGAGCUGUCCAAUGGCCAGGGUCAUGGUCAUGGUCAGGAAGCCUCUCCUCCUGCUCCUGGGAGGAGUGAGUGUGAUGCCUCAGAAACCCCCUGUCACCUCUCAGCUUAGGCUCACAGCCCUGCCCCAGAAAAGGAGUCUCUGGGGCCCUCAACACAACACCCACACUUAAAGCCCUCAUGUUUCCUGGAGGUUGAGGGGAGGCUGAGCAGGAGCAGAGAGGGGCACUUCUUUUUGGUACCUGAUAUUGAACCCAGAGGUGCUCAAUCACUGAGCCCCAGCCCCAGCCCCUUUUAUUUUCUAUUUUGAGACAGGGUCUCCCUAAGUUGCUUAGGGCCUCACUAAGUUCCUGAGGCUGGCCUCAAGCUUGCAAUCCUCCUGCUUCAGCCUCCCAAGUCAUGGGGAUUAUAGGUGUGUGCCAUCAUGCCCUGUGAGAGGAGCACUUUUGCCCCUUUUGGAUCUGGGGGAAUAACCCUAUGGCUUUCCAGACCCUGUGGCCUGAGGUGGGGGACACAAGGAAUCAGAUUUUACAGCAUACAGGGCUUGGGCUUUGAGUCUAAAUCCUCUGCCUAACAGUUGUGUGAUCUUGGAGUUGUUGAUGGCCUCUCCUGACCUCCGGCCUCUGUUACUUCACUGAUAGAAAGUUGAUAAGCCCUGUCUUAGAGGGCAGUGUGCAGGGUAUGAAGGUGCCUGGCACCCAGCCCUCUCCAUACCUGUGUAUUCCCUUCUUCCAAGCCGGCUGUGCGCUCAGUCCCAAGCUCCCCACAUUGCAAGGGGACAGCACUGUGCAUCCUAGACAGCCACAGCCCACACGUGGGUCACCCACCAUAGCUGGGUCAUCCGGGAAUGUGUUGUCUUCAUAUCCAAGAAUAGCCCUGAGCCCCUACCCUGUCCCUUGCUCCCCCCUCCCUCAUGACUUGUUUUUUUAAUUUAACAAACACACAUAUAGCCUUUGUACCUGGCAUGAUUUUAAAUGCUUUUCAAAUAUUAACUCAUUUGAUUUAUUUAAUCCAUUUAAUGGAUUAAGUCACCUAAUCCAUUUAUUUUAUUAAUCCAUUUACUGGAUUAAGUGAGGUAAGGCCAAGGUGGAUGCAGAGCGCUGUGGGACACAGGCCCCGCCACAUCUCCCUCCCGCGCUGGGGCACUUGAGCUGGGUCCCUGGGUUGCACCCAGACAUGCUUCCUGCUGCAGGUAGCUGGGCUGGGAUAGCCACUGGCAGGUCAGAGUUUCAGGAAGAGCAGUGAUGACUAAUUAAAACUUCAGCUCAGGGAGACCCUCUUGGGGCAGAGAUUGCCUCAGUCGACUUCCUUGGGAGAGUCUCCUAAUUGGACCCCUGAGCCCUAGUAAUGAUGCAAACUCACCCGGUAUAUGAUCACAGGCAGGGAGGGAGGGGAAAGGGGGAAGGAAACAGGUUGGCAAAAAAAUAAUAACAAGCCUCCCUCUCAUUGUAAGAGGUAGUGACUUUGGAGUCCCUAAAGUGUCACUUGGGAGCUGUGCAACUUUGGAUGAACUGCUUGCCUCUCUGAGCUUUUGUUUCCUCACUGAAAAGUGGGGAUGAUAAAACAUCCAUUCCUGGAGAGUUGCUGUGAGAAGACUAGCAUGGAAAGUACCUAGCACAAUGCCUGACCCAGAAAUCGGGGUGCAUAAAAUUGGA